UCGAGGUCGUUGGCUCCGGCCCAACGGACUGAGAGUCCGGCCAUUGCCCUCAUCUGGAGGGCAGCUGUCUGAAAACAAGGCUUUCGCAACACUCUCAGCGCCGCAGUCGCCCGCCAGCGCCGUGUGUCGUCUGCUCCCACACACACAGACAGUGAGUCACAUGACCCUCGCACGGCCUCGUCACCGUAAACUGCUUGCUCGCCACACAAUAGAGCCAGUCAAGACGAGGAGGACCGUGUUCCUGCAGACCUCCAUGACAGCUAGGAAUUUACUGGGAGGGCACGAUGGACGCCACGCGCCCACCUGAGGUGACAGUCCUUCAGCCUCAGGAGAUCACAGACCUGGACCAACAGUUCCUGGCACAGAGUCUUCACCUGAGGGGGGAGGAGAUAACCAUGCACACACAGCCAUGAAUACUGC
This is a long non-coding RNA of Nerophis lumbriciformis (worm pipefish), 420 nucleotides long. RefSeq lists it as uncharacterized. The record is from RefSeq and is a predicted model, not a curated record. Lineage: Eukaryota; Metazoa; Chordata; Actinopteri; Syngnathiformes; Syngnathidae.